Molecule: ribosomal RNA, 406 nt
Filed under: uncultured bacterium
Lineage: Bacteria
Description: partial 16S ribosomal RNA
Rfam family: Bacterial small subunit ribosomal RNA
Source: RNAcentral
AUUGAAAGCUUGCUGCAGGCCUAACACAUGCAAGUCGAGCGAGCGGCGGACGGGUGCGUAAUUUCUGGGAAACUGCCUGAUGGAGGUGGAUAACUACUGGAAACGGUAGCUAAUACCGCAUACCAUCAGAUGUGCCCAGAUGGGAUUCGCUAGUAGGUGGGGUAAUGGCUCACCUAGGCGACGAUACCUAGCUGGUCUGAGAGGAUGGCCAGCCACACUGGAACUGAGACACGGUCCAGACGCCUACGGGAGGCAGCAGUGGGGAAUAUUGCACAAUGGGCGCAAGCCUGAUGCAGCCAUGCCGCGUGUAUGAAGAAGGCCUUCGGGUUGUAAGGUACUUUCAGCGAGGAGGCGUUACUCGCAGAAGAAGCACCGGCUAACUCCGUGCCAGCAGCCGCGGUAAUAC